This 444-nucleotide ribosomal RNA is filed under the name uncultured bacterium. Its description in RNAcentral is "bacterial SSU rRNA". It matches the Rfam family "Bacterial small subunit ribosomal RNA", at positions 334 to 795 of the family's 1533-position model. The record is from RNAcentral.
UACUCCUACGGGAGGCAGCAGUGGGGAAUAUUGGACAAUGGGCGCAAGCCUGAUCCAGCCAUGCCGCGUGAGUGAUGAAGGCCCUAGGGUUGUAAAGCUCUUUCACCGGUGAAGAUAAUGACGGUAACCGGAGAAGAAGCCCCGGCUAACUUCGUGCCAGCAGCCGCGGUAAUACGAAGGGGGCUAGCGUUGUUCGGAAUUACUGGGCGUAAAGCGCACGUAGGCGGAUUGUUAAGUUAGGGGUGAAAUCCCAGGGCUCAACCCUGGAACUGCCUUUAAUACUGGCAAUCUAGAGUCCGAGAGAGGUGAGUGGAAUUCCGAGUGUAGAGGUGAAAUUCGUAGAUAUUCGGAGGAACACCAGUGGCGAAGGCGGCUCACUGGCUCGGUACUGACGCUGAGGUGCGAAAGCGUGGGGGGCAAACAGGAUUAGAUACCCUGGUAGUC